GAUGAACGCUGGCGGCGUGCCUAAUACAUGCAAGUCGAGCGAACAGACGAGGAGCUUGCUCCUCUGACGUUAGCGGCGGACGGGUGAGUAACACGUGGAUAACCUACCUAUAAGACUGGGAUAACUUCGGGAAACCGGAGCUAAUACCGGAUAAUAUUUUGAACCGCAUGGUUCAAAAGUGAAAGACGGUCUUGCUGUCACUUAUAGAUGGAUCCGCGCUGCAUUAGCUAGUUGGUAAGGUAACGGCUUACCAAGGCAACGAUGCGUAGCCGACCUGAGAGGUUGUCCGCCCCCCCUGAACUUGGGCACGGUUCCGGCCCCUUCCGGGAGGCACCAGUGGGGAUUCUUCCGCAAUGGGCGAAAGCCUGACGAGCCAACCCCGCGGGGGUAAUGAAGUCCUUCGGUCCGUAAAACUCUUUUUUUGGGGAAGAACAUAUUGGUAGGUACCAGUCCCGUUCUGGCCGUUACCAAACCAGAAGGCCCCGCCAACUUCCUG
This 496-nucleotide ribosomal RNA is filed under the name uncultured bacterium. RNAcentral describes it as "partial 16S ribosomal RNA". It matches the Rfam family "Bacterial small subunit ribosomal RNA", at positions 28 to 507 of the family's 1533-position model. The record is from RNAcentral.